AUAAUGGGUCAGCGACUUAUAUUCUGUAGCAAGGUUAACCGAAUAGGGGAGCCGAAGGGAAACCGAGUCUUAACUGGGCGUUAAGUUGCAGGGUAUAGACCCGAAACCCGGUGAUCUAGCCAUGGGCAGGUUGAAGGUUGGGUAACACUAACUGGAGGACCGAACCGACUAAUGUUGAAAAAUUAGCGGAUGACUUGUGGCUGGGGGUGAAAGGCCAAUCAAACCGGGAGAUAGCUGGUUCUCCCCGAAAGCUAUUUAGGUAGCGCCUCGUGAAUUCAUCUCCGGGGGUAGAGCACUGUUUCGGCAAGGGGGUCAUCCCGACUUACCAACCCGAUGCAAACUGCGAAUACCGGAGAAUGUUAUCACGGGAGACACACGGCGGGUGCUAACGUCCGUCGUGAAGAGGGAAACAACCCAGACCGCCAGCUAAGGUCCCAAAGUCAUGGUUAAGUGGGAAACGAUGUGGGAAGGCCCAGACAGCCAGGAUGUUGGCUUAGAAGCAGCCAUCAUUUAAAGAAAGCGUAAUAGCUCACUGGUCGAGUCGGCCUGCGCGGAAGAUGUAACGGGGCUAAACCAUGCACCGAAGCUGCGGCAGCGACGCUUAUGCGUUGUUGGGUAGGGGAGCGUUCUGUAAGCCUGCGAAGGUGUGCUGUGAGGCAUGCUGGAGGUAUCAGAAGUGCGAAUGCUGACAUAAGUAACGAUAAAGCGGGUGAAAAGCCCGCUCGCCGGAAGACCAAGGGUUCCUGUCCAACGUUAAUCGGGGCAGGGUGAGUCGACCCCUAAGGCGAGGCCGAAAGGCGUAGUCGAUGGGAAACAGGUUAAUAUUCCUGUACUUGGUGUUACUGCGAAGGGGGGACGGAGAAGGCUAUGUUGGCCGGGCGACGGUUGUCCCGGUUUAAGCGUGUAGGCUGGUUUUCCAGGCAAAUCCGGAAAACUAAGGCUGAGGCGUGAUGACGAGGCACUACGGUGCUGAAGCAACAAAUGCCCUGCUUCCAGGAAAAGCCUCUAAGCAUCAGGUAACAUCAAAUCGUACCCCAAACCGACACAGG
Molecule: ribosomal RNA, 1049 nt
Filed under: Escherichia coli
Lineage: Bacteria; Pseudomonadati; Pseudomonadota; Gammaproteobacteria; Enterobacterales; Enterobacteriaceae
Description: partial 23S ribosomal RNA
Rfam family: Bacterial large subunit ribosomal RNA
Source: RNAcentral